UGGGGAAUAUUGCACAAUGGGCGAAAGCCUGAUGCAGCAACGCCGCGUGAGGGACGACGGCCUUCGGGUUGUAAACCUCUUUUAGCAAGGAAGAAGCGAAAGUGACGGUACUUGCAGAAAAAGCGCCGGCUAACUACGUGCCAGCAGCCGCGGUAAUACGUAGGGCGCAAGCGUUAUCCGGAAUUAUUGGGCGUAAAGAGCUCGUAGGCGGUUUGUCGCGUCUGCUGUGAAAACCCGAGGCUCAACCUCGGGCCUGCAGUGGGUACGGGCAGACUAGAGUGCGGUAGGGGAGAUUGGAACUCCUGGUGUAGCGGUGGAAUGCGCAGAUAUCAGGAAGAACACCGAUGGCGAAGGCAGAUCUCUGGGCCGUAACUGACGCUGAGGAGCGAAAGGGUGGGGAGCAAACAGGCUUAGAUACCCUGGUAGUCCACCCGUAAACGUUGGAACUAGUUGUGGGUCCAUUCCACGGAUUCCGUGACGCAGCUAACGCAUUAAGUUCCCCGCCUGGGGAGUACGGCCGCAAGGCUAAACUCAAAGGAAUUGACGGGGUCAUAGCUGUUUCCU
Molecule: ribosomal RNA, 564 nt
Filed under: uncultured bacterium
Lineage: Bacteria
Description: partial 16S ribosomal RNA
Rfam family: Bacterial small subunit ribosomal RNA
Source: RNAcentral